This 742-nucleotide long non-coding RNA is filed under the name Bos taurus (domestic cattle). RNAcentral's name for it is "long non-coding RNA NONBTAT017413". The record is from RNAcentral. Lineage: Eukaryota; Metazoa; Chordata; Mammalia; Artiodactyla; Bovidae.
GCUACUUAAAUACACUUACAUAAAGUGUGUGAAUAAAAUUGCUGUUUUCAGCAAAAAAAAAAAAAAAAAACAACAACCCACUUUUGAUCAAACUUUCAGAUAAUAAAGGGUUAAGAAGAGAUUUUUUUUCAUAACCUAAAGGGAAAAAGUAUGCCCCAUAUAUAUUGUUGCAUACAUUUUAAUGCAUGACUUUUAGUAUAGGGAUGAAAUAAAAUACAAAAUAUAUAAUUCUGGAGGUCUUCUCAGCAGCUAGUUAAACUAUUUAGAUAAGCUGUUUUAUGAAGACAGAAAAUCCCUAGUUUCCCUUUAUAUAUCUCUUUCUAUCGAAAUGGAUCUUUAACAUAAACAUAGUUUAACCAACAAACAUAAACAGACUUGUUCAUCAUGGAAUCUUAUGGAUUCAGCUCUUUAUUGGUUUUAAGCAUAGGCUCUCAAUAAUAUCUAAAUACAUCAAUAUAUAAAAUCUAACUAUUAGCUUCAACACAAGCAAAAUACUUGAUUUUAAAUGUUAAUAUGCAGAUAUUAACGGUAUGCUGUAUCAUGUCUUCUGUGUUCAUGUAUUCCUUUUUAAUAAAAUGCCUGUUAGAAAUAUAAGCCGAUGAUGAUGUGAGUGCAAUUAUCUGAAAACAUUUUGUAGAAAGGUGAUUGUCUGAACACUUUAAUCCACAUUAAAAAGUGGUAGAGGGAGCAGGAAUCUGACAAGAUAUUUUAAAAUGAAGUUGCAUUUCUCUUUUCAAAAUGC